RNAcentral lists this small nuclear RNA (300 nucleotides) under Chinchilla lanigera (long-tailed chinchilla). RNAcentral's name for it is "7SK RNA (ENSCLAG00000021475.1)". It matches the Rfam family "7SK RNA", at positions 1 to 295 of the family's 331-position model. Rfam says of the family: 7SK was discovered as an abundant small nuclear RNA in the mid-70s but a possible function has only recently been suggested. Two independent studies have found that 7SK RNA binds the CDK9/cyclin T complex (known as elongation factor P-TEFb). P-TEFb activates transcription by phosphorylating the C-terminal domain of RNA polymerase II. Lineage: Eukaryota; Metazoa; Chordata; Mammalia; Rodentia; Chinchillidae. The record is from RNAcentral.
GGAUGUGAGGGUGAUCUGGCUGCAACAUCUGUCACCCCAUUCAUCACCAAGGUUGAUUCGGCUGAUCUGGCUGGCUGGGCAGGUGUCCCCUUCCUCCCUUGAUGCUCCGUGUGUCUCCCUCCAGAAGCUGCGUGCUUGGUCGGUUGAAGAGGAUGAUCACCCCCAUUAGAGGUGCACUGUUCUUUGGUCAAGGGUUUAAGAAAAGCUGGGUUCCCCCACUGGAACCUCCAAACAAUCUCAUAGACCAGUGACAUUGACAGUAACCAGUGUGAGGUGUUUAUUGAAUCUUAUUGCAUAAUU